UACGUAGGGGGCAAGCGUUAUCCGGAUUUGCUGGGUGUAAAGGGAGCGUAGACGGCAGUGCAAGUCUGAAGUGGAAGGCGGGGGCCCAACCCCCGGACUGCUUUGGAAACUGUGCUGCUGGAGUGCAGGAGAGGCAAGUGGAAUUCCUAGUGUAGCGGUGAAAUGCGUAGAUAUUAGGAGGAACACCAGUGGCGAAGGCGGCUUGCUGGACUGUAACUGACGUUGAGGCUCGAAAGCGUGGGGAGCAAACAGG
Molecule: ribosomal RNA, 253 nt
Filed under: uncultured bacterium
Lineage: Bacteria
Description: partial 16S ribosomal RNA
Rfam family: Bacterial small subunit ribosomal RNA
Source: RNAcentral